GUCUCCUUUUACGCCAAACUGAUUUGGCUGAACUAUGUUGUUGUUUUUGGAACUUGUAUGUGUUUGUUUUAAAACCUAAAACGGAUGAACUUGUAUGUGUGUGUGUUUUAAAACCUAAAACUUGUAUGUGUGUGUGUUUUAAAACCUAAAACUUGUAUGUGUGUGUGUUUUAAAACCUAAAACUUGUAUGUGUGUGUGUUUUAAAACCUAAAACUUGUAUGUGUGUGUGUUUUAAAACCUAAAUCCAAACUUGGUGGUUGAACAGGUUGCAAUUACAGGUGGGAAGUAAAACAACAUUACAGCAUCAACUAUGCCAAAAAAUAUGAAAGUAGUAUAACUAGAAAAACUAGUACACCUAGUGUUAAAUUAAAAAGUGUAGGACUUAUCUGGGAAUCCACUUAUUUGAAACUCAUUAUGCA
This 419-nucleotide long non-coding RNA is filed under the name Brassica napus (rape). Its description in RNAcentral is "long non-coding RNA (BNAP_LNC001510)". The record is from RNAcentral. Lineage: Eukaryota; Viridiplantae; Streptophyta; Magnoliopsida; Brassicales; Brassicaceae.